This 4312-nucleotide long non-coding RNA is filed under the name Sus scrofa (pig). Its description in RNAcentral is "lncRNA (ENSSSCG00050061529.1)". The record is from RNAcentral. Lineage: Eukaryota; Metazoa; Chordata; Mammalia; Artiodactyla; Suidae.
AGUUGCUAGGCAUCCCAGGAAAAGCCUUUUGUAUGACCCCACCUCCACACUGUUUUAAAAAAUGUAUUGAAGUAUAAUUAACAUACAACAUUAUAUUAGUUUGAAGUAUAAAACAUGAUUUGAUAAUUGUAUAAAUUGGGAAAUGAUCACAAUAAGUUUAGUUAACAUCUGUCAUCACAGAGCUAAAAAACUUUUCUUCUUAGGAGAACUUUAAGAUCUACUCUCUUAGCAACUUUCAAAUAGGCAAACGGUAUUAACUAUAGUCACCAUGCUGUAUAUUAGAUCCCCCAUGACUUAAGUUUGUACCUUUGACUCCCACCCAUUUCUCCCACUGAUUAAUCUGUUCUAUGAGCUUGUUUUUAAUUAGCGGGGAGAGGGUUUGUUGUUUGUUUUUAGAUUCCUCCACGUAAAGUGAGAUCACACAGUAUCUUUCUAAUUUGACUUAGCAUAAUGUCCCCAAGGUCCACCCAUGUUUUAGCAAAUGCAAGGUUUCCCUCUUUUUUGUGGCUGAAUAUUCCAAUGUAUACACAGACAUAGCUCAUUUUACUGUACUUCAUAGAUACUGCAUUUUUUUUUUUUACAAAUUGAAUAUUUGUGGCCAUCUUUCAUCCAGCAAGUCUAUCAGCACCAUUUUUCCAACAGUGUUUGCUCACUUCAUAUCUCUGUGUCACAUUUUGGCAAUUCCAGCAAUAUUUCAAACUUUUCCGUUAUUAUUAUAUUUGUUAUGGUGAUCUGUGGUCCGUGAUCUUUGUUACUACUGUAAAAACAUUACAACUUGCUGAAGGCUCAGAUAAUGGUUAGCAUUUUUUAGCAGUAAAGUGUCUUUAUUUGUAAAAAAUUCUAUUAAGUAUAAUUGAUUUACAAUGUUAAUUUCUUCUGUACAGCAAAGUGAUUCAGUUAUACAUAUUCAUACAUCCAUUCCCAUAUAGGUUAUCACAGAAUAUUGAGUAGACUUCCCUGUGCUAUAAGCAAUAAAGUAUUUUUAUUUAUUUUUUUCUUUUUAGGGCCACACCCAGAACAUAUGAAGUUUCCAGGCUAGGGGUUGAAUCAGAGCUGCAGCUGCCAGCCUAUGACACAGCCACAGCAACAGCAGAUCCUUAACCCAUGGAGCAAGGCCAGGGAUCCAACCUGUGUCCUCAUGGAUAUUAGUUGGGUUCGUUACCACUGAGCCACGAUGGGAGCUCCCAGACCACUUUUUUAACUCUCAAGAGGUUUCAGAGGAUGAAUGACCCCUUAGUCAUACUUGAAGGAAACCUUCUUUCUAAAAAUCCAUCAUGUUCCUUCCUGUUAUUACUUCAGACUGAAGAUGGGCUUUUUAAACAGCAGGCUGUUUCUCUCGAUAUGACUUUGAAAGGGGUUGAAUUUUUACCCUGCUCAGUUUCCCCCAUCACCAGGGUGACACUGGCUCUAGUGAGGAGGGCAGAGCAGCUAGAGUGCUGUCAGGACACUAACAUUUCUUUAUCCUGUUACCAGUCAAAGCAUUAACAGCAAGGACACUGUGCAGUUCACUAGCUAGCCUGCAUCUAGGACAUGGAAAAUGAUUAAAGAAUACUAAAAGGGGGAAGAUAGGAGCCAAGCAAUAAGCCUAGGCCAGAGUUUGGCACGUACAGUCCACGCUCACUAGGGUGGGCCAAAGGGGGGGGUGCAGUAGUAAGUUUCCUAAGAUAUUUAGACAAUAAUGAAAUAGUUUCUUCCAUUUCAUCAGUAGCAUAUAGAUUCACAUGUUGUAUUUUUCUAUUAAGACAUGACUUACUCAGUAUACUAAACCAAUCACUUCUUCCCCUCUGACGGUUUGGUUUAAGAAUUCGAAGGCCAACUGUUGGAGGUUUCAGAGGGCUUUCACUCUCAGAAGGAUGUCCCCCGUUCCCAUGGGUCAUCCUGUGUCAUACUCUUGAAUGGACCCAUUAUAGCUGUAUUUUCUUUUGGAGUCCAACUGGAGUUGGGUUCCUUUGUUGCCACUGCAGCCCCAAACACUCAGGCAGCCCAUGCCAUCCUCGCAUUGUCUGCCCUUGCCUCCUCCACCUGUGCCUUCCUUUGGCUUGGCUUUGUUUGGACUGGCAUGGGCCCCUGUCAUCAGCAUUUUGUAGUCCCUAUCUUGUAAGACAUGUUUCCUAUGAUAGGUUUUCCAAAGUGUUUUUCUGCCAGACUCAAAUUUUUCAUAGCACAUCAACAAGAGCAGUUCACCAAAUGUGCCGUGAAGGAAUCAGGUAAAUGAAAACAGUGCAUUGUGUUUUUAUAGGGCACAUUUUUGUGUUUUCAGUAAAGCUGUGAAUUCUCUGUAUACUUGUUUUUGUGCAACAAAUGGGGUUAGUACUGUAUGGAUUAAGAACUGCUAAGGAGGGAGUUACUGUUGUGAUUCAGUGGUUAUGAACCCAGCUAAUACCCAUGAACACACAGGUUCGAUCUCUGGCCCCGCUCAGGGUGUUAAGGGGUUGGUGUUGCUGUGAGCUGUGGUCUAGGUCUAAGAUGAGGCUCAGCUCUGGCGUUGCUAUGGCCAUGGCUCCGAUUCAACCCCUACUCUGGGAACUUCCAUAUGCUGUGGGCGUGGCCCUAAAAAGAAAAGAAAGAAAGAAAGAACUGCUAAGGAAUGUCAAGGAGAUCUCUUUUCAUGAGGUGACAUCCCUGAGUCACUAUUACUAGGCUCUGCAUUUCUCAGAUAUAUACACAUGCAAGAUGGGGUCGGGAGGGUCUCUAGUGAGAGAACAGUGUGUUGCAAGAUGGGGCGGUGCUCCAUUCAUGAUGAGGAGCUCAGACACAAUCCUAGACUCUAAAGGAAUCUUCCUAAGAAUCUACUCUUCAUUGGACUUUAUAGGAACAUGGCAUCCAAACAUUCACCUAGUUUUAUUCUAGAUGCUGUAAAUUCUGUUCACUGCUCUCCCUUUUCUUUCUUUCUUUCUUUUUUUUUUUUUUUUUUUUUUUUGGUCUAAAAUUUUUAGGGCUGCACCUGUGGCACAUGAAGGUUCCCAGGCUAGGGGUUGAAUCGGAGCUGUGGCUGCCGGCCACAGCCACAGCCACAGCCACGCCAGAUCCGAGCCGUGUCUGUGACCUAUGCCACAGCUCACAGUAACGCCAGAUUCUUAACCCACUGAGCAAGGCCAGGGAUCGAACCUGCAACCUCAUGGUUCAGAUUAAUGGAUCAUUGAAAAGACACAGUCAGACGUUGACUUUCUUCAUGCUGUCUUCCUCAUGUGAAACUUCAGGCUAGAAAACCCAAAACAAAAAUGAAAUGUGAUAAGAAAUAAGGAAUAACUGUUAACUUUUUAGGCAUUGUGAUGGUAGUGCGGUUAUGUUUAACAAAGAAAGAAAUCUCCCUUUUAGAGAAACAUGCUAAAUUAUUUACAAAUAAAAUGGUAUCUGGGAUUUGCUUCAAAUAGUUGGGCUCCCAUUAGACCCCUAGCCUGGGAACCCGCAUGUGCCAGGGGUGAGGCCCUAAAAAGACAAAGGAAAAAAUAUAUGGACUACAGAGUAUAUUAUAGACCUAAAUUUUUUUUUGGCUUUUUGGUUUUUUAAAUUAGACCUAAAUUUUUUCAGUAACAAAUUGAUUUGCCCAAGAACUAUUAAAAGCCAGCACUGAACUGCUUUUGUAACAGUACAGUUUAAGGGUCAACCAAUUUCAAAAUAAUAUAAAAGUCAUUUGCAUAAUGUUUUCAAGUUUUUUGGUUUUUUUGUCUUUUUGCCUUUUCUAGGGCCGAUCCCGCGGCAUAUGGAGGUUCCCAGGCUAGGGGUCUAAUUGGAGCUGUAGCCACCGGCCUAGGCCAGAGCCACAGCAACGUGGGAUCUGAGCCGCAUCUGCGACCUACACCACAGCUCAUGGCAAUGCCGGAUCCUCAACCCACUCAGCAAGGCCAGGGAUUGAACCCGCAACCUCAUGGUUCCCAGUCAGAUUCGUUAACCACUGAGCCACAAAGGGAACUCCUGUUUUCAAGUUUAUAAAGUGCUAUUCACACUUCAGCCAGCAUGGAGGAUUUGUAUUUUCAGAAGAAACCACAGGGCAAAAGUAAGAAAACAGGAACCAUAAGGAAAGAUGAAAGAAACUGGAGCUAAGAAGGCUGAGGGAGGAAAGUUCCUGUUGUGGCUCAGUGAUAAGGAACCCAACUAGUAUCCAUGAGGAUGCAGGUUCGAUCCCUGGCCUCACUCAGUGGGUUAAGGAUCUGGCGUUGCUGUGAGCUGCAGUGUAGGUCACAGACUCGGCUCAGAUCCUGUGAUGCUGUGGUGUAGGCUGGCACCUGCAGCUUGGAUUCAACCCGUAGUCUGGGAACUUCCAUAUGCUGCAGGUACAGCCCUAAAAAGCAAAAAAAAAAAAAAAAAAAAA